CCUGUGUGAUAUGUAGCACAAGAGGACCAUUUGGUGAGCAAUCACCUGUGAGUUACACUGAACUUAACAAAACCCUAGUUAUGAACUUCAUGUCCGACACUCGGGCUGUGGCCUGGAGAUGUGGACCCCAGACUGCUCGGAGGCGAUGGCUGUGAGUCUUGUGACUCAGCCCCAACUUCAACCGAAGCUGUGGCAAGAGGCAAGCCGACACUUUCGACGUCGUCGUUGUUUAGAUGGCUGCCAUCUGAAUUCAUGCUGUUGUUCUCCAAGGUUUUUCUGGCGCUAAGAAGUACCAUCUUCUUGGUACUAGCUUGGAGCUUUGCAGAUAUGUUUUGGCUUGUUUUUUUCAUUUGCCUUCCAACAGUAGGUUGAAUUUGCUGGGUAAAAAAUAAUAGCACCAGGAGGCAGGAAAAGAAAAGCUUAGGGGCCAUAGAGAGAGAGAAGC
Molecule: long non-coding RNA, 445 nt
Filed under: Eucalyptus grandis
Lineage: Eukaryota; Viridiplantae; Streptophyta; Magnoliopsida; Myrtales; Myrtaceae
Description: long non-coding RNA (EGRA_LNC004795)
Source: RNAcentral